Long non-coding RNA from Xiphophorus maculatus (southern platyfish), 168 nucleotides. RefSeq lists it as uncharacterized. The transcript has 3 exons. Lineage: Eukaryota; Metazoa; Chordata; Actinopteri; Cyprinodontiformes; Poeciliidae. The record is from RefSeq and is a predicted model, not a curated record.
GAAGGAUCCAAAGUGGAGACUGGAAACUCUCAGGGUGGAGCCUGAUGGAGUCCGAUGGUUGACACCAGGUCUGAGGAAAUAUUCCUGUCAACUCACCAUCGACACAAACACAAUGAGCAGAUUACUGAAACUGUCUGAAGACAACAGGAAGGUGACACUUGUGGAGGA